CAGGAUGGUCUCGAUCUCCUGGCCUCGUGAUCCGCCUGCCUCGGCCUCCCAAAGUGCUGGGAUUACAGGCCUGAGCCACCGCGCCUGGCCCCAUUAAAUAAUUUUUAAAGUUUAACUGACACUGCACUCCUGGGAUAAACUCCACUUUAGUAAUGUGUAUUAUCCUUUUAAUAUGCUGCUGGACUUCUCUUAUUUAUUUAUGUAUUUAUUUUAUUUAGAGGCAGGGUGUCAUUCUGUCAUCCAGGCUGGAGUGUAGUGGUGCAAUCAUAGUUCACUGCAGACUUGAACUCUUGGGCUCAAGCGAUCCUUUCAUCUCAGCCUCCCCAGUAACUGGGACUACAGUCAUGUGCUGCCACACCCAGCUAAUUUUUGUGUUUUUAGUAAAGACGGGGUUUUGCCAUGUUGGCCAUGCUAGUCUUGAAUUCCUGGCCUCAAGUGAUCUGCCCGCCUUGGCCUCCCCAAAGUGCUGAGAUUACAGGCGUGAGCCACUGCACCCACCCACAAUUAAUUUUAAAGUAUUCUCGUUACUUGAAAAUCUGUACCCUUAGCUUCCUGGCCCCCACCAAAUUCCUUCCCAACUUCACCUGCAACCCCCCACACUAAACAACCACUAAUCUAUUAUUUUUGUCUGUAAUCUUUCUGUUCACUAAUCUUUCUGUCUCUGUAGAUUUGCCUAUUCUGGACGUUUCAUAUUAAUGAAAUCGCACAACCUGUGGUGCUUUAUAUGUGGCGUCUUUCAUUCAGCAUACUUUUUUUCAGUUUCAUCCGUGUUGUAGCAUGUAUUAGCACUUCAUUUGUUUGUAUUUUUGAGUAAUAUUUCAUUGUGUGGAUAUACCACAUUUUAUGGAUAUUUGGAUUAUUUCCAGCUUUUUGGUUAUUAUGGAUAGUGCUGCUAUACCCACUCAUAUACAAGCUUUUCUGUGAGCACGUUCUCAUUUCUCGAGUGUAUACCUAGGAGUAGAUUUGCAGGAUCGAUGUUUCACCAUUCCAGGACUGCCAAACUGUUUUCCAAAGUGCCUGCACCAUUUUACUUCCUCCUCAGCAGUGUAUAGGGUUCCGAUUUCUCCACAGCCUCAUUAACACUUGCUGUUAUCUUUUUCAUUAUCAGUAAGUGGCAUCUCAUUCUGGUUUUGAUUUGCAUUUCUCUCAUGACUAAUGAUAUUGGGCAUCUUUUCAUGUGCUUAUCGGCCAUUUGUAUAUUUUCUUUGGAGAAAUACGCAUUUGCUUCAUGUAUUUUUAAAAACUAAUCGAUACACAUAUUUAAGGUAUACAACUUGAUAGUUUGAAAUAAGUAUAUACCCAUUAAAAAUGUCACCACAAUGAAUGCCAUAAACAUAUCCAUCACUUCAAAAAGUUUGCUCCCUCUCUCUUCAUUUCUAAUUCUUCUGUUUUGUCAUAAGGACACUUAACGUAAGAUCUAUUUCCAGUAUAUGUUUAAGUGUACAAUACGGUGUUGUUAACUGUGGUCACUGUGCUGUACAGGAGGUCUCUAGGACUUACCCCUCUGGCAUGACUGAAGCUUUGCACCCAGUGAGCAAUGCCUGCUUGUUUCCUCCUCCCCCUAGCCCUUGGCAACCACCAUUCUACUCUCUGCUUCUCAGUUUGAGUAUUUUAGAUUCGUUACAUAAGUGAGAUCAUGUAGUAUUUGUGCUACUUUGUCUGGCCUCUUUAACUUAGUAUAUUUGCUGCAAAUAGAAGGAUUUCCUUUUUAUUUUAUUUUAUUUUAAUUUUUUUUUGAGACAGAGUCUCGUCUGUUGCCCAGGCUGGAGUGCGGUGGUGCGAUCUCGGCUCACUGCAAGCUCUGCCUCCCGGGUUCACGCCAUUCUCCUGCCUCAGCCUCCCAAGUAGCUGGGACUACAGGCGCCCACCACCACACCUGGCUAAUUUUUUUUUUUUUUUUUUUGUAUUUUUAGUAGAGACGGGGUUUCACCGUAGCCAGGAUGGUCUCAGUCUCUUGACCUUGUGAUCCGCCGGCCUUGGCCUCCCAAAGUGUUGGGGUUACAGGCGUGAGCCAUGGCGCCCGGCCAGGAUUCCCUUUUGUAAAAAGGCUGAAUGAUGUUCCAUUGUAUGUAUAUGCCAAAUUUUCUUUAUGUAUUCAUCCGUGGUUGAAAAAAAAAUUUUUUUUAAGCAUCUCUUUCAAUCUUUGCAGACUGGCUUUGUGCUGGGGCAUUCCUUCAGCACCGAACCAGGAUAUUAACAACUCUGUCUUAGCCUCCACUUCUUGAUAACCCUGGACCUAGAGAUCUUCGAAAGGAAAAAGCUUAGGGUCCUCUCAGAUCUUUCCUGAAUGCAUGACCUGCCCUGGGUAUGUACGUGACAUUUGAAAUCCCCAGUAUAAAUAAGUAUUUCUUGAAUGCCCUAAUUUCCCAAAGAAACUCUCCCAGCUUUUCCUCCCAGGCUUUAUGUAAUAUAUUGUAUGUCUGAACCACAACUUUUGUCCCAGGGAGCUGUGGGUUUUUUGGUCAUCUCAGAAUGUUUUCAAGCAAUGCCUGCCACUUUUCUACUUUGAGUGGAUUCAGACUCGGACAAAACAGACAAAUGCCUCAUUUUAGUCUUUCAGAUCGUUUCUGAUCGGUUAGAAUAGACAAACGAAGUCAUUUGUGAAUAGGUCUGCCUUGCUCCCUCUGGAACCUGGGACCUGGGUCCUAAAUUGGGAAAGUGGACUACUGUCUUCAAGAUCACCAUCAAGCUGAUGAGGGGGUGGGGCAAGGGCAAGUGAAAAUGCCACACCACUUUCCUGUCACUUUGAAGUUGCCCUUUCCUCAUUUCAGUGAUUUCCUGACUGACGUAAGUCUUUUACUGUUUUCCAGAGUUCUGGCCAAGUUUCUGCUGCUUUUUCUCAAUGUAUCAGUAGAGGGACAGGAGUUUGGAGCUGUCUACUCUGCCGUUUUCCUUAUGUCACUCCACUUCUGAGUCUUUCCUAUCUUUGUGGAUAGCAGAGAUGUCGAUCUCAGAUAUGAUACCCUGUAAGGUGGGGUCCUUCAUGAUGUGAUAUACAACUUAAUAUUCAUUGUAUGGUUUUAUGUCCCCAACAUGUCUAGUAACCAAGGAGUGGACAUAGGAGCGCCCCGCUCACUAGCACGCUCAGUGACACACUUGGGGAAUCUGUGCUUCGUGUCUACAGCUUUCGGCUCUGUGAGCUGAAGUCUUGGACUCUGACUGGUGACCAGUUAGAACCAUGGAGCAGCUCUACCUGGAUGGAAUGAACUUUAAGAAGCAGGUGGAUCUGAGCCAUGUACCCAUGGGUGGCUUGUGGAUGUUGCUGGCACCCUGACUAAACAUUCAUCCUCCAGUUGCUUUGAGUGUUGAUGAAGGAAGUGCACAGUUGCCCUUUUCCCCAGAGAAUUGACCUUAGUGAAACAGAAGGCCCCCUUCUACCUCACACCCUUGGCUGAAGGACACAAAAGGCCCCUGGUCUUGAGGUAGGACUAACGCUGUAGAGCAAUUUGCCCUCCAGAGCUUCCCUGGGAUGGGGUGGGGUGGUGAAGCCGGCCUUCAGCUGAGACCACAACCUUGCUGAGCUUCUUGUCUCCUGCCCCCCUCACUCUUCUGAGAAUGACCCUAAUUAAAUCAUUUGAACAAUGGCCUUCUCAGGGUGGGCUUCUAAGGAACCUGAUACAAAAUAGUCACAUGAAACCAAUGCGAUGGUGAACUUUAUAGUAUGUAAAUUCUAUCUCAGUGAGGCUGUUGUAUUUUUUUUAAAUACUUGCUAGUUAUUUACAGUAACUACGUUUAAGUUCUACCUCAUCAGGGUGUACAUUCCUGGGAACCCCUGGUCAGGUCAAACAUCUUACGUUGAACAUCGAAGUGUUGCCGAUUUAAAGGCGAAAUGUGCUUGUUCUUGAGGUCCCAAAUUAAUAAGUAAUUGAAUUCUUCUGAAAACCCUAAAUUCCACUGAAAUGGCCUCCAAGAUAGUAACUGAGAGUAAACAUGGGAUACUCUGCAACAGGUCAAGGCAGCUACCCCUCAUCGAUAAGGGUGAUGAUUUGCAGAUUCUUUUGUCUUUUUGCUCAGUACACACUUCAGAGCCACAAAGCACAUACAUUUACUCAAUGUUUAUGUAAUUCAGCCUUUACUGUAAAAAAGGAAACAAUAAAACCAAAACCCUAUUAAUAAACACAA
Symphalangus syndactylus (siamang) is the source of this 4122-nucleotide long non-coding RNA. RefSeq lists it as uncharacterized. The record is from RefSeq and is a predicted model, not a curated record. NCBI's taxonomy places the organism in Eukaryota, Metazoa, Chordata, Mammalia, Primates, Hylobatidae.